AUUGAACGCUGGCGGCAGGCCUAACACAUGCAAGUCGAACGAGUGGCGGACGGGUGAGUAAUGUCUGGGAAACUGCCUGAUGGAGGGGGAUAACUACUGGAAACGGUGGCUAAUACCGCAUACCAUCGGAUGUGCCCAGAUGGGAUUAGCUAGUAGGUGGGGUAAAGGCUCACCUAGGCGACGAUCCCUAGCUGGUCUGAGAGGAUGACCAGCAAAACUGGAACGGAGAAACGGUCCAGACUCCUACGGGAGGAAGCAGGGGGGAAGAUGGGACAAUUGGCGCAAGCCUGAUGCAGCCAUGCCGCGUGUAUGAAGAAGGCCUUCGGGUUGUAAAGUACUUUCAGCGGGGAGGCGUUACCCGCAGAAGAAGCACCGGCUAACUCCGUGCCAGCAGCCGCGGUAAGUC
This 406-nucleotide ribosomal RNA is filed under the name uncultured bacterium. RNAcentral's name for it is "partial 16S ribosomal RNA". It matches the Rfam family "Bacterial small subunit ribosomal RNA", at positions 29 to 526 of the family's 1533-position model. The record is from RNAcentral.